GACGAACGCUGGCGGCGUGCCUAAUACAUGCAAGUAGAACGCUGAAGAGAGGAGCUUGCUCUUCUUGGAUGAGUUGCGAACGGGUGAGUAACGCGUAGGUAACCUGCCUGGUAGCGGGGGAUAACUAUUGGAAACGAUAGCUAAUACCGCAUAAAAUUGAUUAUUGCAUGAUAAUUAAUUGAAAGAUGCAAUUGCAUCACUACCAGAUGGACCUGCGUUGUAUUAGCUAGUUGGUGAGGUAACGGCUCACCAAGGCGACGAUACAUAGCCGACCUGAGAGGGUGAUCGGCCACACUGGGACUGAGACACGGCCCAGACUCCUACGGGAGGCAGCAGUAGGGAAUCUUCGGCAAUGGGGGGAACCCUGACCGAGCAACGCCGCGUGAGUGAAGAAGGUUUUCGGAUCGUAAAGCUCUGUUGUAAGAGAAGAACGGGUGUGAGAGUGGAAAGUUCACACUGUGACGGUAUCUUACCAGAAAGAGACGGCUAACUACGUG
Molecule: ribosomal RNA, 497 nt
Filed under: uncultured bacterium
Lineage: Bacteria
Description: partial 16S ribosomal RNA
Rfam family: Bacterial small subunit ribosomal RNA
Source: RNAcentral